GGGGGAAUAUUGCACAAUGGGCGCAAGCCUGAUGCAGCAACGCCGCGUGAAGGAAGACGGUUUUCGGAUUGUAAACUUCUGUUCUUAGUGAAGAAGAAUGACGGUAGCUAAGGAGCAAGCCACGGCUAACUACGUGCCAGCAGCCGCGGUAAUACGUAGGUGGCAAGCGUUGUCCGGAAUUACUGGGUGUAAAGGGAGCGCAGGCGGGGGAACAAGUCAGUUGUGAAAUCCAUGGGCUUAACCCGUGAACUGCAGUUGAAACUGUUCUUCUUGAGUGAAGUAGAGGUUGGCGGAAUUCCGAGUGUAGCGGUGAAAUGCGUAGAUAUUCGGAGGAACACCGGUGGCGAAGGCGGCCAACUGGGCUUUUACUGACGCUGAGGCUCGAAAGUGUGGGGAGCAAACAGGAUUAGAUACCC
Molecule: ribosomal RNA, 416 nt
Filed under: uncultured bacterium
Lineage: Bacteria
Description: bacterial SSU rRNA
Rfam family: Bacterial small subunit ribosomal RNA
Source: RNAcentral